RNAcentral lists this ribosomal RNA (456 nucleotides) under uncultured bacterium. RNAcentral describes it as "bacterial SSU rRNA". It matches the Rfam family "Bacterial small subunit ribosomal RNA", at positions 29 to 506 of the family's 1533-position model. The record is from RNAcentral.
AUGAACGUUGGCGGUGUGCCUAAUACAUGCAAGUCGAACGAAGAUGAUAGCGAGAUUGAUCAGGGAGUGGCGAACGGCUGAGUAACGCGUAAGUAACCUACCCUUAAGUGGGGGAUAACUUGCCGAAAGGCAGGCUAAUACCGCAUGUGCUGGUAAGCGUUAGCUUAUCAAUAAAGCUUUUGCGCUUGAGGAGGGGCUUGCGUCUGAUUAGAUAGUUGGCAGGGUAAUGGCCUACCAAGUCGAUGAUCAGUAGCUGGUCUGAGAGGACAACCAGCCAGACGGGGACUGAGAUACGGCCCUGACUCCUACGGGAGGCAGCAGCAAGGAAUUUUGCGCAAUGGGCGAAAGCCUGACGCAGCGACGCCGCGUGGGGGAUGACGGCCUUCGGGUUGUAAACCCCUUUUCACGAGGAAGAAAUAUGACGGUACUCGUGGAAUAAGUCUUGGCUAACUACGU